Molecule: long non-coding RNA, 2263 nt
Organism: Sycon ciliatum
Lineage: Eukaryota; Metazoa; Porifera; Calcarea; Leucosolenida; Sycettidae
Exons: 2
Source: RefSeq, a predicted model, not a curated record
CCUUGAGCGCGGAUGACGUACUAGUACGUCAUAACACCCACACAGUGCCCCACGGAUGACGUACUAGUACGUCACGCGCUUAUAUUCAAACUAACGGCCCGUAUCUUCAGUCUUCAGGUCUGUUAGCCGAUUGGUAGUGUCUAUGCCUUGUGUACGAGAGGUACCGGGUUCAGUUCCCAGCUGUCAAUGUACAGCGAUCAGCACAGCUCUUUUUUUCUCCUUUUUUACGCGCGCAUACCACGCAAUUGGUGCAAUUUCUCAAAAAUCGACCUGAGUAUGCCGCUCGGCCUGGCGUGCCUUGGCCGAUUUUCGCUUUUGUUCUUGUUGUCGAGUGCUGGUCUGGGUCCUACCUACUACUGCCUGUGGUUGUGGCUCCCAAAGAUUUCACGACUUGACAUAGCCAAGGUUUGAAAAUUUUCAAAAAAGACCAUUUUUCUUACGUGGUGCACUGACAAACAGCCCCGCGCUCAAGGGGUUUUUAACAGAGCGGGGAGAUGCUCUUGCUGCUAUCUUAUCUGUCCUGUGUAUUCGCAAGUGCCGAAGGCUCACAACGAUGGUGUUAAGCAAGUCAGAUAAAAUAGAGUCAACAUCGUCACAUGGUGCUGUGACCAAGAUACGGAUCAUGCCGAACGCUGAUUCAACUGGACGAAUCGCGAGGCUUUUCAGAUGCAGGGACACAAUGGAAACUGAACGACUUCAGAACAGCACUGAAGCGUUAUGUUAUCAUUAGGAGUUAUCAUGCAAGACGCCUUUCUGCGCCGCACAAACACAGGCGGUACUACAGCAGAAGAUGUCACUCACUAUUCUGCAGGUGCACUGGUGACAGGCGCAUGCAAGUUCACCAGAAGGAAGCGGUCUGAUGGUAACUGGAAUGCCAGCAGUAUGAGAGGGUGUGCAUUCUGCGGCGGAUCUCACCUGGACAAGAGCUGCGCGAAAUACACAACAGUAGCACAGCGGAAAGAAUAACUGAUUGAACAGAAGCGUUGCUUUGUGUGUUUGCGCACAGGGCACCGGUCAACUCAGUGCAAGGCCACCCGCAAGUGUAAUGUGUGUUCUCGCAUGGGUCACCAAUCAGAGUCACCAUCAUGUCACGAUCUGCCCUGAAUCUCAACAGAAAUCUGACAGCAGUACCAACAUAGUAGCUGACCAGCCUGUGGCUGACAAGGUACCAGCAUCUAGCGCAACAGCAGGUAGUGCAGCAUCAACCAGUAUCGCCAUUGACCGUAAGAUAGUCAGUCGUCUUGAUCGGUGCAGAUUUCCUCUGGGAGUUUUGACGGAGAGCACCAGAGGACUUCCGCCAGGACUACAGGUUCUGCCUACCACAGUCGGUUUUGUGGUGACUGGCCAAACACGUCACUCCAAGCACUCAGCUACGCCGAUGAGCAGCCAUGCCAGCUAUCGUUUCUCUAACUGAUGCAACUUCCGACUCCUGCACCAUCCCAGAUCUGUGGGACCUAGACUGUGUUGAUAUCCAGGAUUCAGGCAAUCUUACUAACAACGACCUAGCCAUUAGGCAAUUCAUCAUUGUUCUACGAUUUUGCCUGCCACCAAUCGUCAUGACCUGCGAUACUGAGAAGGCCAUUUUACAAAUCAGUGCCAACCCAGCAUACAGAGAUGCGACACGAUUUCUGUGGUUAACCAACUCCGACAGUCCAUCAGUCACCCCAUCCAGCCUGUUCACGCUCGUAAGCAGUCCAUUUCUGCUUGGCGCGUCUAUACAGCAUCAUUUGGCACAGCAAGAUGACAAAACAGCUAGCAGUGGCUAUUGGUGAGAACAUUUUCUGCUGUGCCAUUGGAGUGUGCACGAUACACGAACCCUGCUCUUUUGUUGGCACCGCCUAUGUAACUUACUGCAUAGGGUACAAGGUGACCGUUGUCGGUUCACAUGUACUCCAGUUAUUACACCGUGCAUGCACUGAGUCUGUGCUGCACUGUGCAUCCAUAGGUGUUCGUUUGCGGUAGCGCAAGGUGACACGCAAGGUUGAUGUAUUGUUUUGUCCGCUGCUAUUCGAAGCUCUCGGAGUCGGAAGCGUUACCUCUGUUUCCCCGUUCCUCCCUGCGCGGAGUCUGUAGUUCUGGCUUGCAGUCGCUGUUACAUGCAUGUUGGCAGUUGCAUGUGUUUUGGUUUUCAGUUGUCUAUAUUUGUUUUGUGUGGACGACAGUUCAAUAUUCUAGCAGUUGUUACACUUCCUACAUUCCGUAGUUAUCUGCGGUUGGUGUUCGAGAGAGCAAACUGUGUUCUUCUCCAGAGUGGAGUAAACCA